This is a long non-coding RNA of Ruditapes philippinarum (Manila clam), 1329 nucleotides long. RefSeq lists it as uncharacterized. The record is from RefSeq and is a predicted model, not a curated record. Lineage: Eukaryota; Metazoa; Mollusca; Bivalvia; Venerida; Veneridae. The transcript has 3 exons.
GGAUUUUUUAAUGUAUGAAAGUUACCCAGCUAGCUUAUGGACCGUCGGUGGCUCUAAUUUCCCGUUCGGAAAGCACCUAAAGUCUUCCUUCACCAGUUAAGCUGAAAAUUCGCCAUAUGACCUUUACAAAGUUUGUGUGACGUUAAGCCCAACCGAAAUAAUAAAGAUUUUCACUGUGAUCAAAUUUAGUUACAAUAACAUAAUUUUAAUCACGCACUUCCCGUGAUACGAAUCAGAUGGCGAUGUUAUUUAGCAUAUAUGAUCUAUUUACUAAUUUAAAUUCGAGUGUCACAUCCUUUACCUUUUGUCCAGUUUCCUUUUAUAAAUACGUAAACGUAUUGUUUCAAAUUUAAUGAUAAUAGUUAGGUCGAAUGAAUAACAACUUAUGUUCAUUAGUUUAACAUAGCAUUUAUAUCACAAAUAUUAUUUUUUAUUAUACAUUGUUAAGCUCGAUACUGAAUAUUAUUGGAUAAGUACACAGCUCUCACGAGGCUAGAUUUAUUAAGUAUUUUAUCUUGGAAGAUUACAUGAUAAAAACUCUGGACGGUUAUGGGUUUUGAGACCUAAAGAUCUAGUGAGGGGGAAAGAUCUAGUGCAGUCUUAUUUAGAGGGGAUUUUGUUAUUCACUACCCCUCAAGUCUGGACCUUUCACUUGAUUUGGAUUUACAAAACUACCGAACUACUCCCCAAUGGAUUGAGCCAAUCUGUCUAUUGACAAGUGUCUUACUUGAUAUUUUGGGGGAAAAAACAUUAUUAAAUUCAAUUUCGACGCUUAGCCUUAAAGAAGAGAAAACCAUGCAUUAUCGAAAUACAUUUAUAUUAUAACGUAAACGGAACAAGAACAUCUGAUUUCAAUUUAUUUUUACAUUCUUGCUAAAACCACACACUCCAGACAAUUCAGUGCGUCAUAAAAUGCUACUGGACCAAUUUUGUAUACAUUUAAUCAAGAAAUUACAAGAAAUGACUCUUCUUCGAUGAACAGCGGUACAAUGUAAUUGAGAAAUAGUUUUUUACGACCUUAAUAGUGUCGUUGCACAGGCUUUUAUCUUAUUCUUUUGAUAGGAUAAGAGUGAUACACAGUUUUAAAGCAUUUGUGGUAGCUGUACCAAAUGAGGAGCACGAGUAUAGCACGAGUAAAUGAGAUACCAGAUGUAUGUUUAAGAUAUAAAUUGAAAACUGCAUUACUGAUAAGAAAAAAACUGAAUGAGAUUACCACCGUUGGUGUGUCUAUUUUAAUCAUAUCGGAUUAUAACUUUACUACGAAGAAGACAGGAUGAUGGCUGAGAAACAAGGUCUUCCUGAAGAUCCUUUCCUCGAAAAUGGCGUAAG